This 72-nucleotide transfer RNA is filed under the name Microcaldota archaeon. RNAcentral's name for it is "tRNA-Thr". It matches the Rfam family "tRNA". From Rfam's summary of the family: Transfer RNA (tRNA) molecules are approximately 80 nucleotides in length. Their secondary structure includes four short double-helical elements and three loops (D, anti-codon, and T loops). The record is from RNAcentral. Lineage: Archaea; Nanobdellati; Microcaldota.
GCCUCAGUAGCUCAGUGGUAGAGCGCUUGUUUUGUAAACAAGAAGUCGGGGGUUCAAUUCCCUCCUGGGGCU